GACCCACAGCAUAUCGACCCCUGAGAGAAAAGCUAACGGUUGUGGGUUUAAGAGAAGCUAACGGUUGUGGGUUUAAUGGACACUAAGAGGAACACAUCAGCCCACUGACAGUACUCGUGUAUUUGCUAAGUAUUCCCUUCAACACUACCCCAUGUUUUGCUGCAAGAGUCAAUAUUAGUUUACUGACAGCAGACGUAAGGGAAAUCCGUGUAUGAAAAUGGCGGGAAUGACAAGCACGAGUGUACUGUGGGCUGUUGUGUACCUCUUACUGAACUAUCAGAGUUGUGAGGCUGUUACUGGUGUAGCUUCCCCUCUCACUGCACCGUCACCUGGUGUAGUUUCCCCUCUCACUACACCGUCACCGUCACCUGGCGUAGCUUCCCCUCUCACUGCACCGUCACCUGGUGUAGCUUCCCCUCUCACUGCACCGUCACCUGGUGUAGCUUCCCCUCUCACUGCACCGUCACCUGGUGUAGCUUCCCCUCUCACUGCACCGUCACCGUACCAUAAACGACCAACCUCACGACCCCAUGGAGCACGAAUGACUUCUGUCUUCAAAUGUAUACAAGGCUCCAGUUUGAAGGGUGAGGUCUUGGAAACACCCCACGAACACAACCAGUACUUGGUAAACGUGAGUAUUAACUUCAAGUACGUACAAGUAUCGAUGAAGAUUGGUUCGUGUUCUGACGACUAUGUGUUAUACAGAGGCAACCAUUACCUCACCAGCGACCUCCUCCACCUCGACACCUCCAACACACAGGUGGUGAUGAAGGUAACCUACACCAAACUAACAGAAGGCGUCCAUGCAUAUCGCCUCUCCUUAGAAGGUAUAAAUUAUUACAACCUCAUCAACACCUCAGUCAAUUGUGGACAGUUUCUUGGAUUUCGCUUGAGGGCUAAAGGCGCCUCUGUCUGUGACUUGCGAUGGGAGUCAAACAACCUGGGUGUGCGGGUGAGCCAAUUCAGACCCGCAGCCCCAGCCGAAGACCCCUUCAAGAUGCUCCAUGACCUACGCCGCUGGGCAAGAGGGGCCUAUAUCCUGGCCAUCUGCUUCACCAUCAUCAUAUACGUAGUGUUCCUGGUAGCCGAGAAACUCUUACACAUACAAGCACGUUACCAGGACAUCAUCAGUGAGAGGUAUGAGUGCUGGGGCCUUCCUACUGGCCGCUGCAAACCUCCCCUCCUAAGACACACACCCAAGUCCCCGGGCCCUCUGUGAUGGAGAAGCCUUUGUGGUGUGUAUCCGAUUUAUUACAAGAGUAACUGCGGCAAAACUUAUAGCAGAUCAACACGGCCGUCACCUCCUACAUCCCUGAGAACAAGCUACCAGACUGAACAACACUAUACCCAGAGAAGGAUGGUAAACAGCUUCUACUUGGCUCCUCCCAGAAUGCACCUGAGGUAGAGAAAUAAGGAUAACACAUUUACUACAAAGUUGCUAAGCUUGUUCCACAUGAUGAGGAUGGGAGACAGGAGAGUACCCAGGAGGACGCUCAGGCGGAGAUAGCAUGCGAGGAGACCCAGAAGACCAGAGGAAGACCAAGUUAAAGAUGGGAAGAGCCUUAAGAUGACCUCGACGAGAAAGAAACGACAGAGCUGGUCACAGUGAGUUGAAGACUGUUGACCUGACGUGUUGACCUUCAAUUACUGUGGAGUACUGAGGUGUUAAGAAACAUCAGGUUAUUGAGGAGCCUUAGUCUGCGUAGCUCCUUCUGCGAGUCUCACCCGUGUACCGGACUCCUGUGUCUGAUACCCAAGGAGAAGUCUAGUCUGACCACACUAACAACACUAGCAGCUGAAGGUCCGUGUGGCACCCAGUCUAGUCUGACCACACUGACAACACCAGCAGCUGAAGGUCCGUGUGGCACCCAGUCUAGUCUGACCACACUGACAACACCAGCAGCUGAAGGUCCGUGUGGCACCCAGUCUAGUCUGACCACACUGACACCAGCAGCUGAAGGUCCGUGUGGCACCCAGUCUAGUCUGACCACACUGACAACACCAGCAGCUGAAGGUCCGUGUGGCACCCAGUCUAGUCUGAC
Molecule: unclassified non-coding RNA, 2042 nt
Filed under: Homarus americanus (American lobster)
Lineage: Eukaryota; Metazoa; Arthropoda; Malacostraca; Decapoda; Nephropidae
Description: uncharacterized LOC121856334, transcript variant X1
Source: RNAcentral